RNAcentral lists this ribosomal RNA (269 nucleotides) under uncultured bacterium. RNAcentral describes it as "partial 16S ribosomal RNA". It matches the Rfam family "Bacterial small subunit ribosomal RNA", at positions 15 to 283 of the family's 1533-position model. The record is from RNAcentral.
GAUCAUGGCUCAGGAUGAACGCUGGCGGCGUGCUUAACACAUGCAAGUCGAACGAUUAAGGCGGCUUCGGCCGCGUAUAGAGUGGCGAACGGGUGAGUAACACGUGACCAACCUGCCCCGCGCUCCGGGACAACCGCUGGAAACGGCGGCUAAUACCGGAUGCUCCGGGGAGGCCCCAUGGCCUCCCCGGGAAAGCCUUAACGGCGCGGGAUGGGGUCGCGGCCCAUUAGGUAGACGGCGGGGUAACGGCCCACCGUGCCCGCGAUGGG